This 253-nucleotide ribosomal RNA is filed under the name uncultured bacterium. Its description in RNAcentral is "partial 16S ribosomal RNA". It matches the Rfam family "Bacterial small subunit ribosomal RNA", at positions 524 to 776 of the family's 1533-position model. The record is from RNAcentral.
UACGGAGGGGACUAGCGUUGUUCGGAAUUACUGGGCGUAAAGCGCACGUAGGCGGAUUUGUUAGUCAGGGGUGAAAUCCCGGGGCUCAACCUCGGAACUGCCUUUGAUACUGCAAAUCUCGAGUCCGGAAGAGGUGAGUGGAAUUCCUAGUGUAGAGGUGAAAUUCGUAGAUAUCGAGAGGAACACCGGUGGCGAAGGCGGCUUCCUGGACAGUUACUGACGCUGAGACGCGAAAGCGUGGGGAGCAAACAGG